RNAcentral lists this ribosomal RNA (492 nucleotides) under uncultured bacterium. RNAcentral describes it as "partial 16S ribosomal RNA". It matches the Rfam family "Bacterial small subunit ribosomal RNA", at positions 29 to 507 of the family's 1533-position model. The record is from RNAcentral.
AGUGAACGCUGGCGGUAGGCCUAACACAUGCAAGUCGAACGGCAGCACAGUAAGAGCUUGCUCUUACGGGUGGCGAGUGGCGGACGGGUGAGGAAUACAUCGGAAUCUACUUUUUCGUGGGGGAUAACGUAGGGAAACUUACGCUAAUACCGCAUACGCCCUACGGUUGAAAGCAGGGGAUCUUCGGACCUUGCGCGAUUGAAUGAGCCGAUGUCGGAUUAGCUAGUUGGCGGGGUAAAGGCCCACCAAGGCGACGAUCCGUAGCUGGUCUGAGAGGAUGAUCAGCCGCACUGGAAGUGAGACACGGUCAAGAGUCCUACGGGAGGCAGCAGUGGGGAAUAUUGGACAAUGGGCGCAAGCCUGAUCCAGCCAUACCGCGUGGGUGAAGAAGGCCUUCGGGUUGUAAAGCCCUUUUGUUGGGAAAGAAAAGCAGCAGGUUAAUACCCCGCUGUUCUGACGGUACCGAAAAAAUAAGCACCGGCUAACUUCGUG